UACGAAGGGGGCUAGCGUUGCUCGGAAUCACUGGGCGUAAAGGGCGCGUAGGCGGCGUUUUAAGUCGGGGGUGAAAGCCUGUGGCUCAACCACAGAAUUGCCUUCGAUACUGGGACGCUUGAGUGUGGUAGAGGUUGGUGGAACUGCGAGUGUAGAGGUGAAAUUCGUAGAUAUCGAGAGGAACACCAGUGGCGAAGGCGGCUAUCUGGACGGUUUCUGACACUAAGACUCGAAAGCGUGGGGAGCAAACAGG
This 253-nucleotide ribosomal RNA is filed under the name uncultured bacterium. Its description in RNAcentral is "partial 16S ribosomal RNA". It matches the Rfam family "Bacterial small subunit ribosomal RNA", at positions 524 to 776 of the family's 1533-position model. The record is from RNAcentral.